UUAGAUGUCUGGGGCCGCACGCGCGCUACACUGAAGGAAUCAGCGUGUGCUCUCCCGGACCGACAGGACUGGGUAACCCGCUGAACCUCCUUCGUGAUAGGGACAGAGGCUUGUAAUUGUUCCUCUUGAACGAGGAAUUCCUAGUAAGCGCGAGUCAUAAGCUCGCGUUGAUUUGGUCCCUGGCCCUUGUCCACACCGCCCGUCGCUACCACUGAUUGAAUGGUUUAGUGAGGUCUUCGGACUGGCGCUCGGACCGGACGAUCGGACGGGCCGAAGUGCCGGAAAGAUGACCGAACUUGACCAUUUAGAAGAUGUAAAAGUCGUAACAAGGUUCCC
RNAcentral lists this ribosomal RNA (336 nucleotides) under Crossopriza pristina. RNAcentral describes it as "bacterial SSU rRNA". It matches the Rfam family "Eukaryotic small subunit ribosomal RNA", at positions 1473 to 1804 of the family's 1831-position model. The record is from RNAcentral. Lineage: Eukaryota; Metazoa; Arthropoda; Arachnida; Araneae; Pholcidae.